UACGUAGGGGGCGAGCGUUCUCCGGAAUUAUUGGGCGUAAAGCGCGUGCAGGCGGUCUGCUAAGUUCAUCGCGACAGUUCUCGGCUUAACCGGGAAAGGAUGGUGAAAACUGGCAGGCUUGAGAGCGAGAGAGGGACAUGGAACUCCGGGUGGAGCAGUGAAAUGCGUAGAGAUCCGGAAGAACACCAAGGCGAAGGCAGUGUCCUGGCUCGUAUCUGACGCUCAAGCGCGAAAGCUAGGGGAGCGAACAGG
This 252-nucleotide ribosomal RNA is filed under the name uncultured bacterium. RNAcentral's name for it is "partial 16S ribosomal RNA". It matches the Rfam family "Bacterial small subunit ribosomal RNA", at positions 524 to 776 of the family's 1533-position model. The record is from RNAcentral.